GACUCCGCGAGGCUCCUCCGGAGAAAGUGCGGGCCUCCCCUCCGGCCCGACGCCAGGCUCCUCCUGCGCGAUCCCACCUGCGCGAAGGAGACGAGAACGCACGCAGCGCUCCUCUCAGCAUUGCUCUCCGCAGCUUAUUUGGCUGCUCUUAAUAACACACAGUUGAUUGAGCACCUUAUCAUGUGUCAAGUUACGUUUCAGCAACCAUGACCUGAGAAUCUAUGUCUUUCACACAUUUUGCCUGGUACCUUGCCUUUGACUGUCACUGGUGUGGACCAAGCUUUUCACCUCUCAGCUCUGGGACUCAGGAUGCCAAAGCGCCGCACUGGCUGCCGGAAAGGUUGGUACGCGCGGCGGAGACAAUCUCUAGUAAACCAGAUGAGGAGAUUGAUGAUUCCAGAGCAUGAUGAAUUACCAUCUCGGCAACAAUUCCAGGCAUUGAUGCGAGAGGCACAGAAUCGUGUUGCUGUGCAGGGCGAUCCGAUACUGCCUUUAAGCUUCCUGAUAACCUUAUUAAUUAUCUUAAAUCAGAUUAAUACUGCACAUUCUGAAGAAUAUUCAAAUGCUUACUGGGCUUAUUUUCCCGACCCUCCCCUUCUCCAACCGGCGGGCUGGGAGGGUCUGUCCAUUCCCAUAUACACUAAUGAUACUGUGGCUUUGGGUGGUUUUUCAGAUAAACAUAUUAUUCCUAAUCAAGUCAAUUCCUCUUAUCAUGGAGUGUUUGAUCGUUUACCUAUCUGUCUGUCUAGAUAUUUUAAUUCAACAGGAUGUCUUUUUGUUGGGGAGUCAGGAUAUGCUGAUUAUGACAAUGGUUGGAGCCUAUAUAUUCCUGGAGUAACGAAAGAAUCUGGAAUUCCUCAACGUUGUAAUGGGACUGGUCCUUUAGAUAUCCCUUUCUGCGACUUUGGAACAAGGGGAAGAGUCACUGCUGCACCAUGGAAACUGUGUUGAGAUGGAACUGCUACGGUUUAUAACAUAUUUGGGACAAAUGAGUCAUUGUGGGACUGGUAUCCAGACUCGGCCCGAAACCCUGGAGCUCAGGACAAUAGAAACUUUGCAUCCCGUAUUUGGAAUUUGGGCGGCUCUAAAGUGUUCCAAACAGAAAUCUGGAAAUUAGCUGCUGCCCUUGGAUGUGAGGGUUCCUACCUUCAGGUGGGAUCGAAAGUGAGACACGGUUAUUUAUGGAAUCUCACCAUGAGGUACCCUCGUGCAUGUGUGCCUCACCCUUAUGCUUUACUAGUAGGAUCUGUAAAUAUACAACCUGGGUUACAAAAUUAUGAUAUAACUUGUAACAAUUGUACUUUGACUAACUGCGUCAGGGGAAUUACUAAUCAGACUAGUGUUCUAGUUUUAAGACAGCCUGCCUUUGUUAUGAUUCCCGUAAAGACCAAUGGGUCUUGGUAUGAUGAAAGAGGACUUGAGCUUUGGAGGGAAGUAGAGGGUGCUUUGAUGCAUUAUUGCAGGGAAAUAGGGUUAAUAAUUCUGGGAUUUGUAGCUUUGGUAACCCUUAUUGCCUCCUCCAUUACUGCAGCCCUGACCCUGGCACAAUCAGUGCAAAGUGCAACUUUUGUUAAUAAUCUGGCACAAAAUGUAUCCGUUACCCUGGGGACUCAAGAAGAUAUUGACAAAAAGCUAGAGGACCGAUUGAAUGCCCUUUAUGAUGUUGUAAAAUUUUUAGGUGAAGAGGUUCAAAGUAUAAAGUUGAGAUUACGGGUACAAUGUCAUGCUGAUUUUUGAUGGAUCUGUGUUACCCAAAAAAAAUAUAAUGGUAGUAUAACUGCUUGGGAUAAGGUGAAGGCUCAUUUAGAAGGUAUUUAGCAUAAUGAAAAUAUUUCCUUAGAUUUGCUGCAUCUACAUCAGGAAAUAAUGAACAUUGAAAAUGAGCCCAGACCUGAUUUGGAUGUUGCAAAAAGAGCUGAGUCUUUUGUUAAAGAGCUUUUUCGACAUGUACCUACCGUCAAUAGUAUUUGGUACUUGGGAGCAGCCAUAGGAGGACUAUUCUUAAUAAUUUUAACUGUUUUAUUUCUUGCACCUUGUUUAAUUAAAAAACUGAUUGAUGAUCUAUGGAUGAUAAAGGCUUCCAUUUAUGGAAAUUGUCUGCGGUUAAAGGAACAUAAGCGUGCGCCUAUAUAAAAAGAAAGGGGGAGAUGCGGGGAGCUGCCCAUGAGAACAGGGUCCUUUAUCUAAAGGACACAGCUCUGGGAGCUGCCUCAGUCCUUGAGGAUUUGCUUGCAAACAUAGCUCUCUGUCCCGCCACCCCAGAGAUUAGGCGAUUAUUUACUGCAGACACCUGGAGUUCUGGACAAACUUCUCACACACAGGGAAAUGUUAUCUGGUGUAAGAAAUAAUAACAGGGUGCCAUUCCCAUGCUCUCAAGAUUUCUUGUGACUUUUUGUAAGAUGUAUAGGUCAACCAAGAAAAAAUGUUAACUGUC
Molecule: long non-coding RNA, 2434 nt
Organism: Bubalus bubalis (water buffalo)
Lineage: Eukaryota; Metazoa; Chordata; Mammalia; Artiodactyla; Bovidae
Exons: 3
Source: RefSeq, a predicted model, not a curated record